GGCAGACGGGUGAGUAACACGUGGACAACCUACCCUCGAGUGUGGAAUAACACCGCGAAAGCGGUGCUAAUACCGCAUAACAUCUUCGGGUCGCAUGAUCUGAAGAUCAAAAGCGCAAGUUGCUUGAGGAGGGGUUCGCGCCUGAUUAGCUAGUUGGUGAGGUAACGGCCCACCAAGGCAACGAUCAGUAGCCGGCCUGAGAGGGCGAACGGCCACACUGGAACUGAGACACGGUCCAGACUCCUACGGGAGGCAGCAGUGGGGAAUUUUGCGCAAUGGGCGAAAGCCUGACGCAGCAACGCCGCGUGGAGGAUGAAGGUCUUCGGAUCGUAAACUCCUGUCAGUGGGGACGAAUGCUUCGCAAGAAGUUUGACUGUACCCGCUGAGGAAGCCACGGCUAACUCCGUGCCAGCAGCCGCGGUAAUACGGAGGUGGCAAGCGUUGUUCGGAAUUACUGGGCGUAAAGGGCGCGUAGGCGGCUUGGCAAGUCAGAUGUGAAAGCCCCGGGCUUAACUCGGGAAUUGCAUCUGAAACUGCUUUGCUUGAGUCCUG
This 552-nucleotide ribosomal RNA is filed under the name uncultured Bacillota bacterium. RNAcentral describes it as "bacterial SSU rRNA". It matches the Rfam family "Bacterial small subunit ribosomal RNA", at positions 97 to 651 of the family's 1533-position model. The record is from RNAcentral. Lineage: Bacteria; Bacillati; Bacillota.